RNAcentral lists this ribosomal RNA (392 nucleotides) under uncultured bacterium. RNAcentral's name for it is "partial 16S ribosomal RNA". It matches the Rfam family "Bacterial small subunit ribosomal RNA", at positions 523 to 917 of the family's 1533-position model. The record is from RNAcentral.
AUACGGAGGACGCGAGCGUUAUCCGGAUUCAUUGGGUUUAAAGGGUGCGCAGGCGGCCGUGCAAGUCAGCGGUGAAAGCCCGGGGCUCAACCCCGGAAGUGCCGUUGAUACUGCAUGGCUGGAAUGCGGUCGAGGCGGGCGGGACGUGGCGGGUAGCGGUGAAAUGCGUAGAUAUGCCACAGAACGCCGAUAGCGGAGGCAGCUCGCCAGGCGUGCAUUGACGCUCGGGCACGAAAGCGUGGGGAUCGAACAGGAUUAGAUACCCUGGUAGUCCACGCCGUAAACGAUGGGCGCUCGUCGUCGGCGGCAGACAGUCGGCGGCCAAGCGAAAGCGAUAAGCGCCCCACCUGGGGAGUACGGUCGCAAGGCUGAAACUCAAAUGAAUUGGCGGG